Molecule: ribosomal RNA, 1065 nt
Filed under: Nigrograna norvegica
Lineage: Eukaryota; Fungi; Ascomycota; Dothideomycetes; Pleosporales; Nigrogranaceae
Description: SSU rRNA
Rfam family: Eukaryotic small subunit ribosomal RNA
Source: RNAcentral
CAGAUAGCAUGCCAUGUCUAAGUAUAAGCAAUUAUACCGUGAAACUGCGAAUGGCUCAUUAAAUCAGUUAUCGUUUAUUUGAUAGUACCUUACUACUUGGAUAACCGUGGUAAUUCUAGAGCUAAUACAUGCUAAAAACCCCAACUUCGGGAGGGGUGUAUUUAUUAGAUAAAAAACCAAUGCCCUUCGGGGCUCUUUGGUGAUUCAUGAUAACUUAACGGAUCGCAUGGCCUUGCGCCGGCGACGGUUCAUUCAAAUUUCUGCCCUAUCAACUUUCGAUGGUAAGGUAUUGGCUUACCAUGGUUUCAACGGGUAACGGGGAAUUAGGGUUCGAUUCCGGAGAGGGAGCCUGAGAAACGGCUACCACAUCCAAGGAAGGCAGCAGGCGCGCAAAUUACCCAAUCCCGACGCGGGGAGGUAGUGACAAUAAAUACUGAUACAGGGCUCUUUUGGGUCUUGUAAUCGGAAUGAGUACAAUUUAAACCCCUUAACGAGGAACAAUUGGAGGGCAAGUCUGGUGCCAGCAGCCGCGGUAAUUCCAGCUCCAAUAGCGUAUAUUAAAGUUGUUGCAGUUAAAAAGCUCGUAGUUGAACCUUGGGCCUGGCUGGCCGGUCCGCCUCACCGCGUGUACUGGUCCGGCCGGGCCUUUCCUUCUGGAGAUCCUCAUGCCCUUCACUGGGUGUGUUGGGGAACCAGGACUUUUACUGUGAACAAAUUAGAGUGUUCAAAGCAGGCCUUUGCUCGAAUACAUUAGCAUGGAAUAAUAGAAUAGGACGUGCGGUCCUAUUUUGUUGGUUUCUAGGACCGCCGUAAUGAUUAAUAGGGAUAGUCGGGGGCAUCAGUAUUCAAUUGUCAGAGGUGAAAUUCUUGGAUUUAUUGAAGACUAACUACUGCGAAAGCAUUUGCCAAGGAUGUUUUCAUUAAUCAGUGAACGAAAGUUAGGGGAUCGAAGACGAUCAGAUACCGUCGUAGUCUUAACCGUAAACUAUGCCGACUAGGGAUCGGGCGAUGUUUCUAUCUUGACUCGCUCGGCACCUUACGAGAAAUCAAAGUUUUGGUCUGGGG